This 220-nucleotide long non-coding RNA is filed under the name Prunus persica (peach). RNAcentral describes it as "long non-coding RNA (PPER_LNC006572)". Lineage: Eukaryota; Viridiplantae; Streptophyta; Magnoliopsida; Rosales; Rosaceae. The record is from RNAcentral.
AUACAUUGAUUUAAUUAAAUAUUGUAAAUACUGUAUUAUGCUUGGUAAUAUUAUUUAAUUAUUAUUGUAAAUACUAUAUUAUGUUUGGUUAUAUUAUUUGAUUGUUAUCCUUGAUAUUGGAUGUAUACGUGUUGUCAAUUAUGGAAAAGAGGAUAAUAGGAAGAAUCUUUUGUGUAGUUGAGUCUAACCAUUGUAGGGACCGAGUUCAGGCGAGCCCGUG